RNAcentral lists this small RNA (1737 nucleotides) under Pongo abelii (Sumatran orangutan). RNAcentral describes it as "retained intron". The record is from RNAcentral. Lineage: Eukaryota; Metazoa; Chordata; Mammalia; Primates; Hominidae.
GUGUGUGCGAGCGGGAGCGAGGGGCGCCGGCUGGGGUGUGUGCGCCUGAGCUCUUCAGAACCCAGGCUGCUUUCAGGAACAUUACUGUGGAUUCCCAGGGCCUAUUCCACUAGAAGCAAGAUGGCUGAACUCAAUACUCAUGUGAAUAUCAAGGAAAAGGUAAGAUCAAGUUAUAUGUUGGCUCACAGAAACUCCAAACUAGGUAAUGCAGUCCCUAGCAGGUAAAAACUCAAUUACAAUGGAGAAAGGGAAAAUGGUUUUGGGGGAUACGUUGUAAGUUUGCCACAACAGUAAACUGUUCAGCAGAAAGAAUCAUAAGUAACGUUUACUGAAAGCAUGUUAAACAUAUGACACUCAUUUUUUCAUUUACUCUUGACCAUAACCCCAUAAAGAAGAUACUGUUGUUAUUUCCAUUUUACAGAGGUGGAGGUUGAGAAACAGAGAGGUAAUUUGGCUAAGUUCAUGUAGCUGGUAAACAGCAGAGCUGGGAUUUGAACCCAUGCAGUGUGCCAUUCCACAGUUCAUACUCUUCACCCCUAGGCUAGGUUACAUCUAAGAGCAAGGGUAUUAUAUUACCUCUUCAGAAAUGGACUCAGAGAGAGACAUCCAGUGUAUCACCUGGUGAUCAUGCUGGGCAGCCUUUGAAGUUUCUUUCAACGCUGAGAGUUCAUGACUGUGAAAAUCCCCACUUCUCAUGAUUUGUUGGAGACUGAUUCCACUUCGGAGCUCUUUCCAAGUCUAUGCUGCAUCCUGCACUGAGGGUCAGAAUCCCUCACUUGCCAUAUAUGCUGCCUUGUAAUGUUAGCUCUUAAGGAUCAUAAACCAUAGACCAUGAAGAUAAAUUUGUCCAACCCAUUUGUCUGACACCAUAGGAACUGAGGCCCUAGCACUGGUUUGCCAGUGGUUGUAUACGUAAGUGGGAGAGCCUGGACAGGAGCCCAAGCCAUUACAGUGCUGGUGCACCUUCCACAGCAUCACCCCACAGCCUUCUCUGAACUGUAAACCAUGUGAGGGCAGGAGUUUGUCUUUCAUCUCUUUGUAUCUUCACCAUACCAAAAAUACAGAGUGAAGGAUGAAAGAAGUGACAUUUGUGAAGCCAUUACUAUUUUUUCUUUCACUUAGCAAUGGGGUAAUAGACUCAAACACCACUCUAGAUGCCUGGGGUAUGGCCCUGAACAUGUAGAUGAAGUUCCUGCUCGCAUGGAGCUCACAUUUUAGGGCAGGGAAGCAGAGAAUAAACACAAGAAUAUCUAAAUGAACACAAUUGUUUCAGGCGGUGAUAACAACUGUGGAGAAAACAGCAGGGCAGUGUGAUGAGGGGGAGGCAAGGGGAGGUGGCUGCUCUAUGUGGGGUGGUCAGGGAAGCCCUUUGGAGGAGGUGACAUUUGAUUGAGAUAAACAUGGGGAAAGAAACAACCGUACAAAGAUCUGAGGACAGAGAAUUCCAGACGGAGAGAAAAGCAAAGCAGAUGCCUAAGGUUGACUAAGUUGAAUGUGUUUGAUGAGCAAGUGGUCAGUGUGUUCCAGGUGUGGUAGACAAAGGUGAUUGAUGAUGGGAGAUGAAGUCCAGGAAUACCACUUAGAAUGCUGGCUCUCUAUCCAGGUCCAUGGAUCUCCAAGGGAUCGUAGUUAGAAUCCAUGGGUCCAUGAAUGUAGAUGAGAACAAAUACAUUUUUAUCUUCACUAACAUCUAAAUGAAAUUUACCGUUUCCUCCAGUCAUGCAUGUAGGCAAAGGA